Molecule: ribosomal RNA, 402 nt
Filed under: uncultured Olsenella sp.
Lineage: Bacteria; Bacillati; Actinomycetota; Coriobacteriia; Coriobacteriales; Atopobiaceae
Description: partial 16S ribosomal RNA
Rfam family: Bacterial small subunit ribosomal RNA
Source: RNAcentral
UGGGGAAUCUUGCGCAAUGGGCGAAAGCCUGACGCAGCAACGCCGCGUGCGGGAUGAAGGCCUUCGGGUUGUAAACCGCUUUCAGCAGGGAUGAAACUGACAGUACCUGCAGAAGAAGCCCCGGCUAACUACGUGCCAGCAGCCGCGGUAAUACGUAGGGGGCUAGCGUUAUCCGGAUUCAUUGGGCGUAAAGCGCGCGUAGGCGGCCCGUUAAGUCAGAUGUGAAAACCGUGGGCUCAACCCGCGGCCUGCAUCUGAAACUGGCGGGCUUGAGUCUGGUAGAGGAAAGUGGAAUUCCCAGUGUAGCGGUGAAAUGCGCAGAUAUUGGGAGGAACACCAGUGGCGAAGGCGGCUUUCUGGGCCACGACUGACGCUGAGGCGCGAAAGCUAGGGGAGCGAACA